UGCAAGUCGAGCGGUAGCACAGAGAGCUUGCUCUCGGGUGACGAGCGGCGGACGGGUGAGUAAUGUCUGGGAAACUGCCUGAUGGAGGGGGAUAACUACUGGAAACGGUAGCUAAUACCGCAUAACGUCGCAAGACCAAAGUGGGGGACCUUCGGGCCUCAUGCCAUCAGAUGUGCCCAGAUGGGAUUAGCUAGUAGGUGGGGUAAUGGCUCACCUAGGCGACGAUCCCUAGCUGGUCUGAGAGGAUGACCAGCCACACUGGAACUGAGACACGGUCCAGACUCCUACGGGAGGCAGCAGUGGGGAAUAUUGCACAAUGGGCGCAAGCCUGAUGCAGCCAUGCCGCGUGUAUGAAGAAGGCCUUCGGGUUGUAAAGUACUUUCAGCGAGGAGGAAGGCGUUAAGGUUAAUAACCUUGGUGAUUGACGUUACUCGCAGAAGAAGCACCGGCUAACUCCGUGCCAGCAGCCGCGGUAAUACGGAGGGUGCAAGCGUUAAUCGGAAUUACUGGGCGUAAAGCGCACGCAGGCGGUCUGUCAAGUCGGAUGUGAAAUCCCCGGGCUCAACCUGGGAACUGCAUUCGAAACUGGCAGGCUAGAGUCUUGUAGAGGGGGGUAGAAUUCCAGGUGUAGCGGUGAAAUGCGUAGAGAUCUGGAGGAAUACCGGUGGCGAAGGCGGCCCCCUGGACAAAGACUGACGCUCAGGUGCGAAAGCGUGGGGAGCAAACAGGAUUAGAUACCCUGGUAGUCCACGCCGUAAACGAUGUCGACUUGGAGGUUGUGCCCUUGAGGCGUGGCUUCCGGAGCUAACGCGUUAAGUCGACCGCCUGGGGAGUACGGCCGCAAGGUUAAAACUCAAAUGAAUUGACGGGGGCCCGCACAAGCGGUGGAGCAUGUGGUUUAAUUCGAUGCAACGCGAAGAACCUUACCUACUCUUGACAUCCAGAGAACUUAGCAGAGAUGCUUUGGUGCCUUCGGGAACUCUGAGACAGGUGCUGCAUGGCUGUCGUCAGCUCGUGUUGUGAAAUGUUGGGUUAAGUCCCGCAACGAGCGCAACCCUUAUCCUUUGUUGCCAGCGAUUCGGUCGGGAACUCAAAGGAGACUGCCAGUGAUAAACUGGAGGAAGGUGGGGAUGACGUCAAGUCAUCAUGGCCCUUACGAGUAGGGCUACACACGUGCUACAAUGGCAUAUACAAAGAGAAGCGACCUCGCGAGAGCAAGCGGACCUCAUAAAGUAUGUCGUAGUCCGGAUUGGAGUCUGCAACUCGACUCCAUGAAGUCGGAAUCGCUAGUAAUCGUAGAUCAGAAUGCUACGGUGAAUACGUUCCCGGGCCUUGUACACACCGCCCGUCACACCAUGGGAGUGGGUUGCAAAAGAAGUAGGUAGCUUAACCUUCGGGAGGGCGCU
RNAcentral lists this ribosomal RNA (1406 nucleotides) under Klebsiella aerogenes. RNAcentral's name for it is "bacterial SSU rRNA". It matches the Rfam family "Bacterial small subunit ribosomal RNA". Lineage: Bacteria; Pseudomonadati; Pseudomonadota; Gammaproteobacteria; Enterobacterales; Enterobacteriaceae. The record is from RNAcentral.